RNAcentral lists this unclassified non-coding RNA (336 nucleotides) under soil metagenome. RNAcentral describes it as "partial contains 5.8S ribosomal RNA, internal transcribed spacer 2, and large subunit ribosomal RNA". The stretch from base 1 to 120 matches the Rfam family "5.8S ribosomal RNA", at positions 35 to 154 of the family's 154-position model. The record is from RNAcentral.
GAUGAAGAACGUAGCGAAAUGCGAUAAGUAAUGUGAAUUGCAGAAUUCAGUGAAUCAUCGAAUCUUUGAACGCACAUUGCGCCCGGUAGUAUUCUGGCGGGCAUGCCUGUUCGAGCGUCAUUUCAACCAUCAAGCCCCCGGCUUGUGUUGGGGACCUGCGGCUGCCGCAGGCCCUGAAAACCAGUGGCGGGCUCGCUGUCACACCGAGCGUAGUAGAUUUUCAUCUCGCUCAGGGCGUGCUGCGGGUUCCGGCCGUAAAAAGCCUUAUUUACCCAAGGUUGACCUCGGAUCAGGUAGGAAGACCCGCUGAACUUAAGCAUAUCAAUAAGCGGAGGA